Daucus carota subsp. sativus is the source of this 1984-nucleotide RNA transcript. It is a transcript of the gene named autophagy-related protein 18d, with no coding region annotated. The record is from RefSeq and is a predicted model, not a curated record. NCBI's taxonomy places the organism in Eukaryota, Viridiplantae, Streptophyta, Magnoliopsida, Apiales, Apiaceae. The transcript has 5 exons.
AGAGCAAGGGCUUUCGCGUGGAGAAUCCAAUAUGAAGAGAGGUACAGAGACGCAGCUGCAGGUGUAUUCUUUAAUACAUCUCUCAUAAUCUCAUUCUUCUAUAUCUUAUCAUCGGACUUGCAAUUUACAACACUAAUCAUCUAUAUAUAUAGAUGUAUAUGUAUGCUUUUCUACAUAAUCGAUUAAUGGGUCUUCACUCCUGAAAAUAUUAACGAAGAUUGCUUCUUUAUCAGGUCUCUCUCUGAUUUUUAACCGUUGUGACCAUAUCGUUGCCGAUGAGUUCAACUGUCUCACCUUUUGGUGGAUUUCCUCCAUCACUAGGGAUCGACAAUCACAAUUCACCAAUAGCUGGAGAUAUCGGUCCUUUUAGCAACUCCGAACCAGAUGUUAGCAACAAUGAUGAAGCAGAAUUACUUUAUGCCUCAUGGAAUCAGGAUUAUGGCUGCUUUGCUGCUGGAACAAGUCGUGGAUUUCGUAUAUACAAUUGUGAUCCCUUUAAAGAAACUUUCAGGCGGGAUAUGAAAAAUGGGGGAUUCCGUAUUGUCGAGAUGCUGUUCCGUUGCAACAUUCUGGCACUUGUUGGUGGGAAAGAAAAUACGCAAUAUCCUCCGAAUAAAGUUAUAAUAUGGGAUGAUCACCAGAGCCGGUGCAUUGGGGAAUUCACAUUUAGAUCUGAGGUCCGAGCAGUUAAAUUAAGAAGGGAUCGUGUGGUUGUGGUACUUGAACACAAGGUUUAUGUUUAUAAUUUUAUGGAUCUGAAACUUCUUCAUCAAAUUGAGACUUUGGCAAACCCCAAAGGACUCUGUUGUCUCUCACACCAUUUGAAUACAUCCGUCUUGGCUUGCCCAGGCAUUAGGCGAGGACAGGUCCGCAUCGAACAUUUUGGGCUACAUAUUACCAAGUUAAUUCAUGCACAUGAUGCUCAGAUAGCAUGUAUGACCUUGACAAUGGAUGGGCUUCUUCUCGCAACCGCUAGCACAAAAGGCACAUUGAUAAGGAUCUUUAACACAAUGGAUGGGACUAGGUUGCAAGAGGUACGUAGAGGAGUGGACCGAGCAGAUAUAUACAGUAUUGCUCUCUCCCCGAAUGUGCAGUGGCUGGCUGUUUCAAGUGACAAAGGUACUGUUCAUAUAUUCAGUCUUAGGGUACGAGGCGCUGGGGAGGACACAUCUUUUCAGUCUAGUGCUAUGAAAAGUCCAGCAUUUGUUCACCAGAAUUCAUCAUCUUCACUUGAAGCCCUUAUAUCUCCGAGUACGGGGGCAAAUCCUGGUUCAUCAUUGUCAUUCAUGAAAGUAAGGGCAAAUGAAGAAAUUUGGUGUGAAUAUUCAGUGUUUCCUUUUGGAUCUGAGGAUACAAUUAUCAGUCUUGGCAAUGUGGCAUUAUUUAGAAAUAGUUUGAGGUCUGCAUAUAUAGACAAACUCCAAAAUUAAAUAAAAUUCACAAGCAGCAGAAAUAUUAUAUCCUUCUCUGCGGCUUGGCUUUCUAAGCUGUAUGACUAUAGAUUGUAGUGUAGACUAUCUCGUCUUAGUGGUUGUCUUGCCAUAUUGAACUUUUAUGCAUGUAAAAUUUCAACACAGGGGUCUUGCCGAAAUAUUUUAGCUCAGAGUGGUCAUUUGCUCAGUUCCACAUAUCAGAGUGUACACACUUUAGUGCUGCAUUCGGAUCUCAGAACACACUUGUCAUCGUCAGCAUGGAUGGAAGCUUCUACAGGUGUAGUUUUGACCCUGUGAAUGGAGGGGAGAUGAUCCAGCAGGAAUAUGUCCGUUUCUUGAAGAAUGAAAACAAGCCAAGAUGAUGCUAGACUGACCCUAUUUUUUUCUACUGCUGUAAAUAUGAAUCUUUGCUGCUAAUAAACGUAUAUAUCAUGCAUUCUUCAAUUAAAUUUAAUUGGUUAUAUGUGUUCGUUGAUAUAUUGAAGUCCCAUAAACUUGGAUAGAGUUGUGGAUCGACUAUGUUCGAUGAUAAUAAAAAUGAUUUUCGGUAA